This 454-nucleotide ribosomal RNA is filed under the name uncultured bacterium. RNAcentral's name for it is "bacterial SSU rRNA". It matches the Rfam family "Bacterial small subunit ribosomal RNA", at positions 340 to 786 of the family's 1533-position model. The record is from RNAcentral.
UACGGAAGGCAGCAGUGGGGAAUAUUGCACAAUGGGCGAAAGCCUGAUGCAGCCAUGCCGCGUGUAUGAAGAAGGCCUUCGGGUUGUAAAGUACUUUCAGUCGUGAGGAAGGUGUUAAGGUUAAUAACCUUAGCAAUUGACGUUAGCGACAGAAGAAGCACCGGCUAACUCCGUGCCAGCAGCCGCGGUAAUACGGAGGGUGCGAGCGUUAAUCGGAAUUACUGGGCGUAAAGGGCACGCAGGCGGUUAAUUAAGUUGGAUGUGAAAUCCCCGGGCUUAACCUGGGAAUGGCAUUCAAGACUGGUUAGCUAGAGUCUUGUAGAGGGGGGUAGAAUUCCAUGUGUAGCGGUGAAAUGCGUAGAGAUGUGGAGGAAUACCGGUGGCGAAGGCGGCCCCUGGACAAAGACUGACGCUCAUGUGCGAAAGCGUGGGGAGCAAACAGGGAUUAGAUACC